AUAAAGGCCCUUUUCAAGGCCACCGACAAUUUGAUUUAAAUUUUGU
This is a non-coding RNA of Schistosoma rodhaini, 46 nucleotides long. Lineage: Eukaryota; Metazoa; Platyhelminthes; Trematoda; Strigeidida; Schistosomatidae. The record is from Rfam.